AAAACAAAGCACUCUAUAUGCCUUAUUGAUUAGACAAAAAUGGCUUCUUUUGAGCCCUUUUGCCCCCCUAUAAGUUUGUCCACGUCGUUCCGGAACACUCCGUAUAGACAUGAAAUCCAGAUGGUGGAAAAUGUAGAAACAGGAGUUAAAACUACAGUCAUUCUUCACAAUUUCCUGAUCCAGAGAAGCACCAUGUAUUGCUCAUCAACUUUUGUUGAUCAUUUAGAUUCUUUGGACAAUAUUAUUGAUAGUGAUUAGAGGACACAAGUAAUUUGGAACCCUUAGAAUGACUUCAGCAAGACCAGAUUACUCCAGGAACCCUUCACAAUCUGCUGUUGAAUGUUAGAAAUACUUUUUAUAGAUUUUUUAAUUUGCCUGCAGGGGCAGUAUUUUGGCAAAAUCGUGUUAACCGAUGAUUUUUCUUAUAUAUUUGUUACAAAAUAAACAAGCAUCCCUGAAAAUUUCUUGCACAUCCCUAGGGAUACACACACCAUACUUUGGAGAUCACUAUUUUAGACGAUCCCAAAAAUAAAAAAUAAAAAAAAAUAAUAAUAAUAAUAAUUGAAUUUCCAAAAUAGUCAGA
RNAcentral lists this long non-coding RNA (583 nucleotides) under Androctonus crassicauda. The record is from RNAcentral. Lineage: Eukaryota; Metazoa; Arthropoda; Arachnida; Scorpiones; Buthidae.